Molecule: transfer RNA, 64 nt
Filed under: Cyrtodactylus hinnamnoensis (Hinnamno bent-toed gecko)
Lineage: Eukaryota; Metazoa; Chordata; Lepidosauria; Squamata; Gekkonidae
Description: tRNA-Trp
Source: RNAcentral
AAGUUUAGGUUACUAAAACCAAGGGCCUUCAAAUCCCUAAACAUGAGCACUGCCCCAUAACUUC